Long non-coding RNA from Pipra filicauda (Wire-tailed manakin), 2555 nucleotides. RefSeq lists it as uncharacterized. Lineage: Eukaryota; Metazoa; Chordata; Aves; Passeriformes; Pipridae. The transcript is spliced from 2 exons. The record is from RefSeq and is a predicted model, not a curated record.
GCGCUCGGAUCCCCGCGGGAGGGGCUCGGCCCGGCGCUGCCCCCGCAGGGCUCCCGAGUUCUGUCCCGUUCCUGCAGAACCGUCCCGAGCUGCCCCGAGUCACAGGCUGUGGCUGCGUGUGACUGGGAGCUCUGGCGUGUCCUGUGCCGCACCUGGUGGGAGGCUGCACGGGACGGAACGGCCAAGCCCUUUCUGUGGAUAAAGGCGAGGAAAGAAGGGAGCACGUUGGGAAAGGUCAGCGCCGCUCCUUUGGAAACACCUUCCAGUGCAGCACUUAUGCGUAACUUGAGCAACGUUUUCCUUUGUAGAGCCCCUUUGUCAUUAGCGUGCAAAACUAAAUUGAACUUCAAUUAUCCACACAGAAAUUUUCCAUUCCAAGUCUCUGUCUCUGAUUGACUUCAAGACACUGAAGUAAAGGGAAAGAAACUGAUCAGAAAAAACAAUUCUUCUCGUGGAAGGAAUGGGAUUGAAAAAAAAAACAAUUUUCAUGUGAGAAUUUUUAUUCUACUUAAAAACAUUAAGGAAUUCACAACCCAAAAACUACCCUGAGGAAUGGCCUCGGAAGGUGACAAACCCAAACCCUCGUGAGCUGGGCCGUACUGGCUUGUGGAGCUUGGGGCUGACUCCAAAGUGCUCCUGUUCCCCAGUCAGGGUGAUAUCUUGUCCUUGCUCAGCGUGUGGCUGGUGGCCUCACGUACUGCACGCUCAUCAGAUCCUCCUCUGCACAUGGAAGGAGUCAUUUCCUCCUGGGCUUUGCCAUGAACUCAUUCCUGUGUUAUCUGAAUUCCUCACCACAUAAUGAGAGUAUCAUCACAAUGCAUGAGCAGAAGAGGUAGAUAAGAUGUAGAUGUGGAUAAAGCCUGGCCACAGUAACUCACCUGGUACCUUCAGGCAUGGAGGGACGAGCUUCAUUUCUCAUGGAAUUUCUCAGCUGCUUUCCACUCAUCCAUCUUCUCUGCAAACCACCUCACUCAUUCCUCCCUGCAAUGAAUGAAGAAGUUUUAGCACCAGGAAUGGCUUCCAUCAGCCAGCCUGGUUCCCCAGAGCACUGCCCGGGCUGUGUGCUGAGCUCAGCCUGUGGAACAGCACCGUGGGCACCGUGAAUCACACAGUGCACGUGGCCUUAGGGAGCUCAGACAGAGCUCUUUGGGGCGGACCAAACCUGACAUCUCACAAGUUCUUCCCUUUGUAACCUGGAUGUAUUCAGGUAUAAUUUGCAUGUGUUGUGUGUGCGUGUAUAUGUUACAUCCAAAAAUCAUGCUGAUCCCAGCAGAGGAGGCAAGGAUGGCUCAGCACCUGGCAAACACAGCUGGAGAGCAGCAGCAGAGCCCCUGUGCUGGCUGUGCUGUGCCUGCUGCAGGGCUGUCACUCUGCAGGGCUUACACUGGGCAGCUGGCACUUCAAAAGGCAGGACAUCCCCACAAGGUGAUGUGAUGCGUGGCUGGGGGAGAUCACCUUCCAGCCAGGUACAGUGACAUUUGCAGUGUUUAUCUGAUCACAGAACCACAGACCUACAGAAUCACAGAACCACAGAAUAUCCUGAGCUGGAAGGGACCCACAAGGGUCAUGGAGUCCAUACCUUAGCCCUGCAGUGCCUGAGUAUCAUCCAAAUGCUUCUUGAACUCUGUCAGUGCUGUGACCACUGCCCUGGGGAGCCUGUUCGUUCCUUCUCCAACCACCUCUCUCUGUGUGUAAUCCUACAAACCACCUGGGCUUACUGUGCUCUCCAGACGGACUCAGACUGAAGAAGGAAUUGCUAUUCUGCCAUCAAACCUGCUGUACAAACUGCACUGCUUACCACGGGACCUGCCCGGGACGUUACAGCCCAGCAGAGACCUCCUGGCUCUGUGCCCCUGCAGGGACCACAGACUCUCGGGUUUUAGUGGGUGAGACAAAACAAUAGAAAGAAAAAAGGAGUCACUAGAGGAGUAUAUGGGCCAUACAAGAGGCAGUGCUCUAAUGGAGGGUACUUGAUCAAACACAGCUUUUGAAAGAAACGUUUUCAGACAAGAUUUGAAAGGAGAUGAAAAUUGCCAUUUGAGGAUGACCCUGUCUUACAACGCCACAAGGAUCACCUAAUAUCCUACACAUAUCCUAUAAUAGGGACGUGAUGGAUGUUUAAGCAAAACCCACUUCAGCUGUGCAGAUGUGGAAGAAUAACUGCAGUAGUGCUGGAGACCUGACAAUCCCUUCCUGCUCUGCUGCUUGUUUCCUUUCUGGCUGUGCAGCAAACAGCUCCUCCGUGCUCCAACCAUCCUCGGGAUUUCUGUGGCCCUCGACCGGCAGUGGGUUCAGCUUUCUGGCAAUAUUCAUCUCUGUGACUUUCCCGAGCUCAGAAAUGACUCUCAUUAAUUUCCUGACUUUAGGUCACAAAGUCCCUGUGAACCAGGGAUCCCCACCAGCGCUGGUGGCCGUGAGGGGACUGAGCUCUGUGUUCUGUACCCCGGAUCAAAAACUCCCAGUAUCCAUCUGCCCCAGUUGGGAUCCACGACUCAGCUUCCAGCACAUGGGAAUUUUGCACUUCCCCUACUCUGAAUAAACAACUUUUCACUUCA